AGAGUGGCGGACGGGUGAGUAACGCGUUGGGAAUCUACCCAGUAGUGGGGGACAACUACCGGAAACGGUAGCUAAUACCGCAUACGCCCUAUGGGGGAAAGGCUUCGGCCGCUAUUGGAUGAGCCCGCGUCAGAUUAGCUAGUUGGUAGGGUAAAGGCCUACCAAGGCAACGGUCUGUAGCUGGUCUGAGAGGACGAACAGCCACACUGGGACUGAGACACGGCCCAGACUCCUACGGGAGGCAGCAGUGGGGAAUAUUGGACAAUGGGCGAAAGCCUGAUCCAGCAAUGCCGCGUGUGUGAAGAAGGCCUGCGGGUUGUAAAGCACUUUCAGUUGGGAAGAUGAUGACGUUACCAACAGAAGAAGCACCGGCUAAAUCCGUGCCAGCAGCCGCGGUAAUACGGAUGGUGCGAGCGUUAAUCGGAAUUACUGGGCGUAAAGCGCGCGUAGGCGGCUAAGUCAGUCAGAAGUGAAAGCCCCGGGCUCAACUUGGGAAUUGCUUUUGAUACUGCUUAGCUAGAGUUUGGUAGAGGAUAGUGGAAUUCCAGGUGUAGCGGUGAAAUGCGUAGAUAUCUGGAGGAACAUCAGUGGCGAAGGCGACUGUCUGGACCAAAACUGACGCUGAGGUGCGAAAGCGUGGGUAGCAAACAGGAUUAGAUACCCUGGUAG
RNAcentral lists this ribosomal RNA (669 nucleotides) under uncultured Gammaproteobacteria bacterium. RNAcentral describes it as "bacterial SSU rRNA". It matches the Rfam family "Bacterial small subunit ribosomal RNA", at positions 92 to 793 of the family's 1533-position model. Lineage: Bacteria; Pseudomonadati; Pseudomonadota; Gammaproteobacteria. The record is from RNAcentral.